UGGGGAAUUUUGGACAAUGGGCGCAAGCCUGAUCCAGCAAUGCCGCGUGCAGGAUGAAGGCCUUCGGGUUGUAAACUGCUUUUGUACGGAGCGAAAAGGUCUGCCCUAAUACGGUGGGCUCAUGACGGUACCGUAAGAAUAAGCACCGGCUAACUACGUGCCAGCAGCCGCGGUAAUACGUAGGUUGCGAGCGUUAAUCGGAAUUACUGGGCGUAAAGCGUGCGCAGGCGGUUAUAUAAGACAGGUGUGAAAUCCCCGGGCUCAACCUGGGACCUGCAUUUGUGACUGUAUAGCUAGAGUACGGUAGAGGGGGAUGGAAUUCCGCGUGUAGCAGUGAAAUGCGUAGAUAUGCGGAGGAACACCGAUGGCGAAGGCAAUCCCCUGGACCUGUACUGACGCUCAUGCACGAAAGCGUGGGGAGCAAACA
This 427-nucleotide ribosomal RNA is filed under the name uncultured bacterium. RNAcentral's name for it is "bacterial SSU rRNA". It matches the Rfam family "Bacterial small subunit ribosomal RNA", at positions 355 to 774 of the family's 1533-position model. The record is from RNAcentral.